CCCUUGUAGGAGUUGUUGCUAAAUCCCUUUCGCACCUCAAGCUAAAGUUACUGAAUCGCUAUCCUCAACUGAGUCACACCUCAAGUCAAAGCUACGGAUCAGAGUCAUCGCCAUCCUCAACUAAGUCGCACCUCAACCGAGUCAUCAGCGGAGUCAUUUCAAGAUAAAGUUGUCACGUUGCACAUCUUUAUCCGCAUCUCAACCAAAAGAUAAAGUUCAGUGAAUUAGUUGCAAGACACAUAUGGGAGGAAGAAAGUGAUUAUAUUGGAAGCUGAGACAGGAGAUUAUCUUGGAAAACGCAGAGGUUUUUGGUUUUACACUAUUGGCCAACGACAAGGUUUACGAAUUCCCGGAGGACCCUAGUAUAAUCUCUCUCCAUAGCU
Ipomoea nil (Japanese morning glory) is the source of this 383-nucleotide long non-coding RNA. RefSeq lists it as uncharacterized. The transcript has 3 exons. The record is from RefSeq and is a predicted model, not a curated record. Lineage: Eukaryota; Viridiplantae; Streptophyta; Magnoliopsida; Solanales; Convolvulaceae.